UCUCCGUAGGUGAACCUGCGGAAGGAUCAUUCAUAAUAAGUGUUUUAUGGCACUUUUUAAAUCCAUUUACUCCUUGUGUGCAAUGUCCGUCGCUCUCUUGGAUGGGCACGACCAAACAUCAACCACCUCUUUAAAUCUUUGUCUGAAAACUAUUACGUAUAAAAUAACCCAAAAUACAACUUUCAACAACGGAUCUCUUGGCUCUC
RNAcentral lists this unclassified non-coding RNA (206 nucleotides) under plant metagenome. RNAcentral's name for it is "partial contains small subunit ribosomal RNA, internal transcribed spacer 1, and 5.8S ribosomal RNA". The record is from RNAcentral.